This 584-nucleotide ribosomal RNA is filed under the name Mycobacterium sp. E103. RNAcentral's name for it is "bacterial SSU rRNA". It matches the Rfam family "Bacterial small subunit ribosomal RNA", at positions 29 to 628 of the family's 1533-position model. The record is from RNAcentral. Lineage: Bacteria; Bacillati; Actinomycetota; Actinomycetes; Mycobacteriales; Mycobacteriaceae.
AUGAGAAGCUCUCGCGUGCUUAACACAUGCAAGUCGAACGGAAAGUGCUCUUCGGAGUGACUCGAGUGGCGAACGGGUGAGUAACACGUGGGUGAUCUGCCCUGCACUUUGGGAUAAGCCUGGGAAACUGGGUCUAAUACCGGAUAGGACCACAUGCUUCAUGGUGUGUGGUGGAAAGCUUUUGCGGUGUGGGAUGGGCCCGCGGCCUAUCAGCUUGUUGGUGGGGUAAUGGCCUACCAAGGCGACGACGGGUAGCCGGCCUGAGAGGGUGUCCGGCCACACUGGGACUGAGAUACGGCCCAGACUCCUACGGGAGGCAGCAGUGGGGAAUAUUGCACAAUGGGCGCAAGCCUGAUGCAGCGACGCCGCGUGAGGGAUGACGGCCUUCGGGUUGUAAACCUCUUUCAGUAGGGACGAAGCGCAAGUGACGGUACCUAUAGAAGAAGCACCGGCCAACUACGUGCCAGCAGCCGCGGUAAUACGUAGGGUGCGAGCGUUGUCCGGAAUUACUGGGCGUAAAGAGCUCGUAGGUGGUUUGUCGCGUUGUUCGUGAAAACUCACAGCUUAACUGUGGGCGUGCGGGC